This 88-nucleotide unclassified non-coding RNA is filed under the name Pseudomonas extremaustralis. Lineage: Bacteria; Pseudomonadati; Pseudomonadota; Gammaproteobacteria; Pseudomonadales; Pseudomonadaceae. The record is from RNAcentral.
CCAUGUGGGGGCUUGCUCCCGAUAGCGAUGGAUCAGCCAGCAUCUAUAGCGACUGACACCCCGCAAUCGGGAGCAAGCCCCCUCCCAC